This 894-nucleotide long non-coding RNA is filed under the name Medicago truncatula (barrel medic). RNAcentral describes it as "long non-coding RNA (MTRU_LNC005310)". Lineage: Eukaryota; Viridiplantae; Streptophyta; Magnoliopsida; Fabales; Fabaceae. The record is from RNAcentral.
UCUGGUUCUAUAGAAAAAUGCUUUUAAUUAGAUUGGAUUCAAAUUCUUUGUCUUUUUAUGGCUUUCAUAUUCACUUUGUGAUGUAAAAUAGGUCAUACCAACAGUGGUUUUCUGCAGCUGAGAUGUACAUAAUAUCUUUCCUUCUGUAGCAUAUGCAGGCCUAGGUUUUGAUGGAAUUUAUUUUACACCACUUUUGAAGUUCUUUUGAUUAUAGCAUUGCCUCCUUUAGCAAAGAUACUACUCUUUGUUUUAUGCACAACAGAUUUAACAAAUAUUUUUCAGCAGCGAACUUUUUCUGCAGUGAUGCUUCUUGUCCAAGGAUGGGAUCUAGAAAAUUUUGAUACUAAUGUGCAAGAAAUAGAAUGACUUGUAGUACAAAACUUAUUUUCUUUUUUAUGAUUAUUUUAUUUUUUGAAAACUAUAUAUUUCAUUGAUAACCAAUUAAGCAAUGAUUUCCCCCAUAUGAUUGAUUGUAGAUCCAAUCUUUCAAUUAUUGCAUUGGUAGAUGGUGACACUGAAUGUUGUUUUCCAUUCUGGAAGUGGAUUAUCAGUUUGUGAGUCUUAUUUUAAAAAACGUACGGGAAACGGGGGAACUAUUACUCGUUAAAGUGUUACUAAUAGUCAUUUACAAGCGUCUCAGAGGAUAUUUAAACUCCAUUCUUUGAGGUUAUAAAAUCGAACUUCUACGACUGAGUUGACACUUUAUUAUUAUAAACAGUCUUUGAGCCUAUUGUUGUACUCAAUCCCUCAAGAAAUUGACUCAACAUUCCUAAAAAGCUUAAUUUUCUUACCAAAAUACAUGGUUUGAUUUGAUCCUUCAAAUGUAUCAAACCUUUUUGCAAAUUGAGAAACUCUUUUCAAUUUUUCAUCAUUGUUGAAUAAAGAAAAUAUGCU